Molecule: transfer RNA, 59 nt
Filed under: Rattus norvegicus (Norway rat)
Lineage: Eukaryota; Metazoa; Chordata; Mammalia; Rodentia; Muridae
Rfam family: tRNA
About the family: Transfer RNA (tRNA) molecules are approximately 80 nucleotides in length.
Source: Rfam by way of RNAcentral
AUAACUUAGUGGUAAAGUGCUUAUCUGGCUUGCAUGAGGCUCUGGGUUCGAUUCCCAGU